GAUGAACGCUGGCGGCGUGCCUAAUACAUGCAAGUCGAGCGAACGGACGAGAAGCUUGCUUCUCUGAUGUUAGCGGCGGACGGGUGAGUAACACGUGGAUAACCUACCUAUAAGACUGGGAUAACUUCGGGAAACCGGAGCUAAUACCGGAUAAUAUUUUGAACCGCAUGGUUCAAAAGUGAAAGACGGUCUUGCUGUCACUUAUAGAUGGUUACGCGCUGCAUUAGCUAGUUGGUAAGGUAACGGCUUACCAAGGCAACGAUGCAUAGCCGACCUGAGAGGGUGAUCGAGCACACUGGAGCUGAGACACGGUCCAAACUCCUACGGGAGGCAGCAGUAGGGAAUCUUCCGCGAUGGGCGAAAGCCUAACGGAGCAACGCCGCGUGAGUGAUGAAGGUCUUCGGAUCGUAAAACUCUGUUAUUAGGGAAGAACAUAUGUGUAAGUAACUGUGCACAUCUUGACGGUACCUAAUCAGAAAGCCACGGCUAACUACGUG
This 497-nucleotide ribosomal RNA is filed under the name uncultured bacterium. Its description in RNAcentral is "partial 16S ribosomal RNA". It matches the Rfam family "Bacterial small subunit ribosomal RNA", at positions 28 to 507 of the family's 1533-position model. The record is from RNAcentral.